UAAAGAUUCAUCGCUGAUAGAUAGGCAUGCGUUCCAUUAGGCAGUUGGCGGGGUAACGGCCCACCAAACCGACGAUGGAUAGGGGUUCUGAGAGGAAGGUCCCCCACAUUGGUACUGAGACACGGACCAAACUCCUACGGGAGGCAGCAGUGAGGAAUAUUGGUCAAUGGGCGUAAGCCUGAACCAGCCAAGUCGCGUGAGGGAUGAAGGUUCUAUGGAUCGUAAACCUCUUUUAUAAGGGAAUAAAGUGUGGGACGUGUCCUAUUUUGUACGUACCUUAUGAAUAAGGAUCGGCUAACUCCGUGCCAGCAGCCGCGGUAAUACGGAGGAUCCGAGCGUUAUCCGGAUUUAUUGGGUUUAAAGGGUGCGUAGGCGGCCUUUUAAGUCAGCGGUGAAAGUCUGUGGCUCAACCAUAGAAUUGCCGUUGAAACUGGGAGGCUUGAGUAUGUUUGAGGCAGGCGGAAUGCGUGGUGUAGCGGUGAAAUGCUUAGAUAUCACGCAGAACCCCGAUUGCGAAGGCAGCCUGCCAAGCCAUGACUGACGCUGAUGCACGAAAGCGUGGGGAUCAAACAGGAUUAGAUACCCUGGUAGUCCACGCAGUAAACGAUGAUCACUAGCUGUUUGCGAUACAGUGUAA
Molecule: ribosomal RNA, 637 nt
Filed under: uncultured bacterium
Lineage: Bacteria
Description: bacterial SSU rRNA
Rfam family: Bacterial small subunit ribosomal RNA
Source: RNAcentral